AUGCCCAGCUAAUUUUUUCUAUUUUUAGUAGAGAUGGGGGGGGUCUCACUAUGUUGGCCAGGCUGGUCUCGAACUCGUGACCUCAGGUGAUCUGCCCACCUCCACCCUGUGUCCUUACCUUGUCUCAGCUCUGCCCAUUACUGCUGGUGCCCCUGAUGCUCCCGCAUGGGCGAAGGGGAGGGGCUGGCCCUGAGUGGGGGUGUGCUCUUGUGUUGCUGUCGGGGAGUCCAGGAGUGAGAGCUACUGAGCUCUUCUUGGUUGUCACCAUCCCAGUGGAUUUGGGGGUCCCAAAGACCACCUUCAGGUUGGAUGAUUUGCUAGUAGGAUUCAGAGAACUCAGCAAAACUGUUAUACUCCUGGUUGUAGUUUAUUACAGUGAAGGAAACAUUAAAAUUAGCCGUGGAAAAAGGUGCAUAAGGCAGAAUCCAGGAGCCAGGCAUGCGCUUCCAGUUCUCCUCUCGCAAUGGAGUUGUGUAGAUAGCACUUAAUUCUCCCAGCAAUGAUGUGUGACAACACACAGGGGGUACUGUCAACCAGGGAGGUUCACCUGAGCCAUGGUGUCCUGGGUUUUCACUGGGGUCAGUCACAUAGGCGUGCAGCAUCCGCAUGACUGAAUGCAGUUACUAAGUCUCUCAGUCACACAGGCGUGCGGCAUCUGCAUGACUGAAUGCAGUUACUAAGUCUCUCAGUCACACAGGCGUGCAGCAUCCGCAUGACUGAAUGCAGUUACUAAGUCUCUCAGUCACACAGGCGUGGGGCAUCUGCAUGACUGAAUGCAGUUACUAAGUCUCUCAGUCACGUAGGCGAUGACUGAAUGUAGUUAUUAAGUCUCUCAGUCACACAGGCGUGCAGCAGCCACAUGACUGAAUGUAGUUACUAAGUCUCUAGCACCCCCCAGAGAUCAGAUGAUGCAGCACUGGUCCAAGGCCCGCACCGGAAAUCACACUGUUAGCAUAAACUAUCUGGUGUGAAAAAGACACUCUUAACAGGCAGAGAUUCCAAGGGCUUUGAGGUUACCUCCCAGGAGCAGGUCAAGGGCCAGACCUUUGUUUCGAAUGUGCAGGGGUUGGACAACCUAGGCCUGCUGAAUUAACCGUUUACGGCACCCUUGGCUACAGCCGAAGGAAGCUUCUUAUCUCACGAUCAUUUCCUUUGUUUCAAUGACUUGUUUAUCAGGGAUCUUGGGUGUACCCUUGGAUUGUGUGUGUGUGUGUGUGUGUGUGUGUAUACCAGAGGGGAUUGCAUGUCAACUAGGGACAGGGCAUUCUGUGUGGUCUGGAGGGCAGGCCCAUGUCCUGUCCAGCCACAAUCCUAGGCCAAUGUUCUGGGACAUUAUGCGAGCUGGUGCAGUGAACACUUAGGAACACUGGCCACAUGUUGACUGGCCUGACUGAUUGGUUGGUCUAGAGGCCUGGCCCCUUUGUGCUUAGAGUAGGGCUGAGGAUACUAAUGUUUCCCUCUCUCCUUAGCAUUGACCUAGGCUGCUUCUGAGGACUGGCAGUCUGGAGACCUGGCAGAGGCUGCCAAACCUUUUGUGGAUGGAGCUCAAGUGAACUGUUAGUCUAACAAGGUCUCUGACUGGCCUCUGCUGGCCUCAGGUGAAGAGAACCUUCUACCAGAACGUAUCCUCUCCAGCGGCGUUCUUCCAGCCCUCUACGGUGUGCACAAUGGGAACUUCCAGGUGUGUGCAGAGACCACGGCAGGGCGUCGGGGGCAGGUGUUGCCCAGAGCUCUGGCCCGCCCGAGAUGUUGGCUUCCAUGAAGGUUUGGAGGCCAGUAAGGGAGCCUUGUCAGUGCUUGGAGCCUUUUUUGUAUAUUCAGUGUAUUUCAAUUUAUACGCUGUGUCUCAAAUGGGGAAAAACUAGCUUUAUUUUCCAUUGCUGAUUUCUUUUUGUUCUCAUGUCUCCAGUUCCAUUGUUGAUGGAAAAAUGUAAAUUUCUCAUGACUUAUCUCUGCCCCUCUGGUUUGCCGCUGUCUGCACGCACCAUGUGCCUCACCUCCUCCUGCGAAGGUGUCUGUCCUGUGGCCGUGGGGAAGGGUCUGUGGUGUGUGCACUGCCCUCGGGGCUCUCACUGCCUCUGGGCUCCUGCUCUGCCUGGUCCCCUGGUCCCCCUGGAACGCAUGCUGGCACCACAGCUGAGGAGUGGGCUCUGCACUUCCGCCUCUGUGGGCCCUGUUGGGCCCCCACAGCCCAGGAAUCAGUGAGCAACUUGGGGGUUGCAUCAGGCCCUCCCCUCCCUGCUGUGCUGGCGGUUCAUGCUGCCUGAGUGGGAGGAGCAGGAGAGGGAGGACUCCAGUGAGUGUCUCUGGUUUUUCCCCUCAAACUCCUCACUUUGGGCAAAGGACAAGAAGCAGUGAGGGCACCUCCCUGGGUUCUGGGCCAAGCUGACCUCUCUUCUCCAGGAUCUUCCCUCCCUGUGCCCUAGGGUAUCCCUGGGCCCUGUGCGGCAAGGAUGCCCCCUCCACACUGCGGCUCCAGCUUACUAUGCAGGAAAAUCCUUUUCUCUCUCAAUGACGAGACUGGUUUUCAAGAUUUCUGUGCAAACAUUUAAUUUGAACCGUAAACCGGGCACCUGGCUCUUGGCAGAGUCCCCCUCUUUCCCCAAGGUGGUAGGUGUGACCAUCAAGAGCCUGGGCAGCUGAGAACAAGGCUGAGCAGGGCACAGAUUGUGACUUGUCCUGGACUGUCAUCCUGUUGCAGGCACCAGCUCUUCCCUAGAGAACAAGGGCACCUGCCAGGGGUUAUUUAGACCCUCUGGUGGGGAUCUGGUGCCGUAGGUUGGUCUCCAGGGAGCAGUGCAGUGAUGGAGGGUGUGGUGUGUGUGGUGCAUGGGAUGGAGGUUCCUGGUCUCACCAAGGGAACAGCUUCCUUUUGGAGGUGGGGGCCUUCUGUGGCCCCACAGAAGGAUCCUGGUCUGUUAGCCUUAGCCCAGUGCUUUGAAAGUCACCAGUCCUGACAGCAACUCGUGUGUGUGUGUGUGUGUGUGUGUGUGUGUGUGUUUGUGUGGUGGGAAUGCCCGGUCUCUGUAGCUGCUGAAAGGCCUUGAGGCACAUGCUGUUGGGAGUUGGCUCUGUCCUGGGCAAGAUGUCACCAUCUGUACCUUGCUUGAGGCUGCUGUGGGCACCAGGCUCUGUGCUAGUGGAGUGGAGGGGAACCUGGUCCUCUCCAUACAACCCAGCAGGUACGCCGCCUAUGUGCCUGUGGAGAACAGCGGUUCCUGUAGGGCCCACAGGUGUGGACCAAGUAGCUGUGAAAUUUCUUCUGAAGAAAAUGCACAAGGAGGACGUGAGUGAGCUCAGCGGAGGAGGGGCGCUACCCCAGGGGACGUCCCCAUGCAUGGGCUUAUGUACCCCGAAUGUCUGAGACGGUCUCAGUCAAUUUAGGAAGUUUAUUUUGCCAAGGUUGAGGACGCACGCCCAGGACACAGCCUCAGGAGGUCUUGACGACACGUGCCCAAGGGGUCGGGAGACAGCUUUGUUUUAUACAUUUUAGGGAGACAGGAGACAUCAAUAUAUGUAAGAUGAACGUUGGUUCCGUCGGGAAAGGCAGGACAACUCAACGCAGGGAGGGGCUUCCAGGUCACAGGUAGGUGAGAGACAAACUGUUGUAUUCUUUUGGGUUUCUGAAUAGCCUCCCCAAAGGAGGCCAUCAGAUAUGCACUUAUCUCAGUGAGCAGAGGGGUGACUUUGAAUAGAAGGGGAGGCAGGUUUGUCCUAAGCAGUUCCCAGCUUUUUUCCCUUUAGAUUAGUGAUUUUUGGGCCCUCAGAUUCAUUUUUCUUUCCCAGGCUAAACAGCUUUAGGAACUGGAAGUUUCAUGAGGCUGUAAGGAAGAGUCGAGUUACUGCAGGUGAGCCUCGGCCACAACAGCAUGCAGGACCUGGGCGCCCACGAGGGCCUCCUGGGAGGGUUGGGGAAAGGGAGCUGUGGACCCUGACUAUCUGAGAUGGUUUCAGGUGAUUUAGAAAGUUCAUUUUGCCGAGGUUGAGGACGUGCACCCGUGACAGCCUCAGGAGAUCCUGGUGACAAGUGCCCAAGGUGGUCAGGGCACAGCUUGGUUUUAGGGAGACAUGAGAUGUCAGUCAAUACAUGUCAGAAGUACCUUGCUUCCAUCCAGAAAGGUGGGGACAACUGGAAGCAGGGAGGGGGCUUCCAAGGUCACAGGUAGGUGACAGACAAAUGUUGCGUUGUUUUGAGUUUCUGGUUAGCCUCUCCAAAGGAGGCCAUCGGUCGUGCACCUAUCUUAGUGAGGAGAUAGGUGAUUUGGAAUAGAAUGGGAGGCAGGUUUGCCUUGAGCCAUUCCCAGCUUGGCUUUUCCCUUUAGCUUAGUAAUUUUGGGGUCCCCAGAUUUUCUUUUCACAGAGCCUAUGACUAGAUUUGCAUUUUUAGAUCCUGUGAGGAGGCUGCUACACACAUGCAGAAGUCAUGCUGGUGGCCUGGACACUGAAGGGAGAGAAGUGGAUUAGAGAGAUAUUUAGGAGGUAGGAUUGCCAGGGCCUUGGUGAUAGC
This is a long non-coding RNA of Piliocolobus tephrosceles (Ugandan red Colobus), 4507 nucleotides long. RefSeq lists it as uncharacterized. The record is from RefSeq and is a predicted model, not a curated record. The transcript is spliced from 3 exons. Lineage: Eukaryota; Metazoa; Chordata; Mammalia; Primates; Cercopithecidae.